UUCACUUACGACUUUACUGCGUGUGAAAGAUAAAUCCUCUAUUAAAUUAAUUUUUAAUCCUCUGAUUUCUUCUUCGAAUUUUUUUGUAACUUCAUUGGUUUUUGCUUUCUCUACCCUCAAACGGAACAGAGCAUCGGCACAUUUAUUUUGAUUACCUGGUCUAUAUAUUAUCUCAUAAUCAUAAUUUAAUAGUUUCGUCGCCCACCGUAUUAAACGGUUAUUUGUUAUUUUGUUAAGAUCUCUUUUAUCACUUAAAAUAUAUUGUAAUGGUUUAUGAUCAGUAACCAAGAUAAAAUGUCUUCCAAAAAUAUAUUGAUAAAACUUCUCGAUAGCGAACAUGAUCGCCGAAGUCUCCCGGUCAAUUGUGGCAUAAUUCUUUUCAGCCUCCGAAAGUGUCCUCGAUGCGUAAGCAAUCGGUUUCUCCUGGCCAGUAAGAAAUCGGUGUGCAAUAACAGCUCCUAGACCAUCUUCGGAAGCGUCACAAGAAAUCACGACAGGGAUAUCGGCUGAAUAAGGAAUUAUUGUAUCUUCUUUUGACAAUAUAUUUUUAACUUUAGUAAAUAUUUCAUUUUCUUUAGCUGACCAAAACCAACCAACAUUUUUACUCGUUAGUCAGUGUAAAUGCGCACAAAUAGAAUGCAAAUUUUUAAUAAAUGCCUCAUGAUAAUUUACUAUUCCAAGAAAUGAACGUAGUUCUUUAACAUUGGAAGGUGUUUUAAAAUUUUUUAUAGCGCUAAUCUUAUCUUCUGUAGGGUGAAUUCCGAAACUGUCAAUAACAUGACCUUUUUCUCCGAGUUUAAUUUGGUCGUCGUGGUCAGUCCAGCCUUCUCAAAUCUUCUUAAUACUUCUUCCAAAUUAACUAUGUGAUCGGAAUUAUUCUCACCUGCAAUAAUUAUGUCGUCUAAAAAUACACUAACCAUAGGAAUUCCCUUUAAUAGGUUUUUCAUAAAGCGUUGGAAUAUUAUCGGAGCGCUAGUCAAACCAAAUGGAAUUCUUUGGUAUCGGUAAUAACCGACAUGUGUCGAAAUUACUAAAAGGUCCCUACAUUCUGGACUAACUCCGAAUUGUAAAAAUGCAUCUCUUAAAUCUAUUGUUGAAAAUAUUUUACCACCCGCGAUUUUAUUUGUUAGGUCGACGAAAGUUGGUAGUAAAUCGUUAUCGAUCGUUAGAUAUUUGUUGAAUGUUAAACGAAAAUCUCCGCAUAUCCAUACGGCACCGGAUUUCUUUAAGAUAUUAACCGUUGGCGUAGCCCAAGUGAUUGGAGUUCUUGUUGGAUCCACCUUCUCGAUAACGCCUUCGUCUAAAAGUCUGUCCAACUCAGCUUCAAUGGUUCGACGCAACGGAAAAGGAACUCUUCUUGCUGGUAAUGCAAUCGGUAACGUGUUCGGUUCUAUUCGGAUGACUGCCUUUUGCACAUGACGUCACGAUGACACUACGUAGCGAUGACAUGACGUCACGAUGACCCUACGUCACGAUGACCCUACGUCACGAUGACCCUACGUCACGAUGACACUACGUAGUGAUGACAUGACGUAACAACAUCGUAAAAUUAUAAUAUAGAUCUUAAGAUAAAAUGAUCAUGACUGACCAAUGAUGCAAUGGAUAAAUCAAGCUACACACAUCCUGUCAAAUUAAAUGAUAAUCAACAGCACAAUGACAACUAUUACGUAUGGUUAAGAAAAAAAUGGGUAGCUACGGCUCAAUGAAAAUUAUGUAUGGUCAAGAAAAAAUAUGUAACUUCCUGAAACAGAAAGAAGAAAAUUUAAUAAAAAUAAAUAAUAA
Molecule: long non-coding RNA, 1782 nt
Organism: Gordionus sp. m RMFG-2023
Lineage: Eukaryota; Metazoa; Nematomorpha; Gordioida; Chordodea; Parachordodidae
Exons: 3
Source: RefSeq, a predicted model, not a curated record